Alligator mississippiensis (American alligator) is the source of this 1083-nucleotide RNA transcript. RefSeq lists it as uncharacterized. NCBI's taxonomy places the organism in Eukaryota, Metazoa, Chordata, Crocodylia, Alligatoridae. The record is from RefSeq and is a predicted model, not a curated record. The transcript has 5 exons.
AUAGACCACCUGCCCCAGGGGCCAGACCCCAAAGUAGCUGCCUCCAGCUGCCUCAGGACCCCCUGACAGGAUCAGGCCCCUCGAUGCCUCGCAGCCACCCCCCACCAUGGGCCCCCUGGGCUCUCCUGGCCUCGGUGCUGCUGAUUGAAGCCCGCUGUGGUCCUCAGCUUGGAUUACUACAGCCAUGAGGGCACCUACAUGCAGGCCGUGGUCCAGCCCAACGUGACCCGAAUGACCUCUGUGCUGGCCCACAACAUGUGCACGGAGCAGAUGAUGGCCAUGACCAUCGCUCCACGCCUGUGACUCCGACCUAUGCAAUGAGCAGUUCUUCAACCACAGCCUCCACCUCAAUGUCCCCCCAGAGGCUCCAGCCAAUGCCACCGAUGCCCUGCAGUGCUACAGCUGCCUGGGCCUGAGCCCCGAGAGCAGCUCAGGGGAGAACAUGGACGUGGUCCAGUGCCCCCCAGAUUUCCCCCGGUGCGCCAUCGGGACGGCCAGUGCCACCAUCGACGGGAACUGCACAGCUUCCUCCUUCUACCGCUCCUGCCAGGACAGAAACAGCAUCCGGACCCACAGCAGCCACAAUUGGGAGAGCUCCACCCGUGCUGUCACGACCACCUGCCAUGAAAGUCUCUGCAACGACGGGCCCCAUGAGUCUCUCACCCCACCGCCCUUGUCCCCCCACCCCAGCCUAGGGGAUUGGCACCCUGAGGGGGCCUAGGCUACAUGGGAGAGGAGGUCCUGGCUUGUGGAUGCCCAAUGCCUCUGGGUGAGGAGGCCCAGCUCGAUCCCAUCCACGAUGCCCCAUCCCAGAGCCAGGCACAUCUUGUCCCCAUUAUACCCAGCUCUGAUUCCCACCCCAGAGCCAGCUGCAGCUCAGGGCUAGCUUGCUUGGCAAAUGCCUGCUAGGCCUCUGUCCAUGACUCCUUCCUUUUGCCCAUUAAACUGGACCCCCGGAAAGCUGCACCUGCUUUAUAUCGGGGCAGAGCCUUCCUGGUUGCAUCCCGGUGCAGGACACGGGGAUUAAGGGGAGGAGCCGAGGGCUGCAGGACAGGAGUGUGGGUCCAGAGCAAGGAGGACAAA